Molecule: long non-coding RNA, 979 nt
Filed under: Equus asinus (donkey)
Lineage: Eukaryota; Metazoa; Chordata; Mammalia; Perissodactyla; Equidae
Description: lncRNA (ENSEASG00005023938.1)
Source: RNAcentral
GAAUGAGCUUCAGGUGAAUCACUGCAUGAGCCCUCAAGUGGAACUUAUUUUCCAGGAAUGCAUUUUACCUGGCUAGUUUUGAGGCACAUGACCUCCCAACACUCGAGGAAUCAUCUGCUAAUGGCACAGGCAGAGUCAUGCCCACUCACCAUGUAAAGCCACUUGGAUUGCUCUGACCACGUGGCCGCAGGCCCACUCUAAAGAGGAAUGUCAAAACCGUGGGACCACCCUGUGGGAAGUGGAAACAAAGCAAGAAGGCAAACCAUUUCCUUUUCAAAGACAGUGCUUGGAAUUUGAAUGCAUCACGUCUGCUGCUGACGUUGUAUUGGCUGGAACCUAGUCAUGUGGUCAUGUGGUCAUGUGGCUUACCUAGCUAUAAGGAAUCUUGGGAAAUGUCUCUAACUAGGAAGCCUUGUGUCCAGCUAAAACUUAGGAUUCUAUACUAAAAGAAAAAUCAAGAAGUGAAUACUGGCAGAAAAUUAACGGCCUCUGUCACUAUUGCAAUAGGACGGGCAAAAAAGUGAGGAGCAGAACUAAAGUCGUGGGUGUAUCAGAGAGAAAGGAUGUAUUUGAGAAAUAGAUUCUGUUUUUAUGACUGUUUUGAUCUUAUGGUGAGGGAGGAAGGAGAAGUGGACAACUUUUAGGUUUCUAGGUGAGGGGAUGGUGAUGGUGUUAACCAUGGUAGAGAUUCUAGGGGAAGAGAAAGGAGAGGAAAAUAUGAGUCUGGGACUAGACAAUGAAUUUAAGUUGACUGAAGAAUAUUGAAGUAGAAACGUCCAAUCCUGUAGGCAGUUGGAAAGACUUGUCAAAGGACCCUGGGAAAGGUUGCUACUGGAGAUCAAGAUUUGGCAAACAUGAUGGUUGUCAGAGCUUGGAUGCAAACAGGAUAGCCCAGAGUAUGACAUGGAAAGAGGAAUCAGUGCUGGGGAACACUGGUAUUUAAGGUGAGCACUGGAAGAGAAACUAAUGAAAAGUGGUC